Molecule: long non-coding RNA, 7394 nt
Organism: Oncorhynchus tshawytscha (Chinook salmon)
Lineage: Eukaryota; Metazoa; Chordata; Actinopteri; Salmoniformes; Salmonidae
Source: Ensembl
UUCGGCUGUUGCCUUUGUAUGUAUAAUAUAUGGCUGUAGCGAUCACAUCACGUCACAUGACCAGAGUCACCCUGAUGUUAAAUGCACGCGAACAUCUUCAAUAGCCAGUUCGUUGUCUCAUCUCAAACUACGGUUGUUGCUGAGCUGACAGCUAUACUUAUCUGGCAACAAAACCGCCCGCCCCGAACAGCUCUGCAGUCGAUUCCGUCUGUUUUUAUUUUGUUAGAUAAAACGAGCUACUGUGUUUAAGGGUUUGUUGUUAUUUAUCUUGUUAGCAAAUCACUUUUUGGGGGGGAAACGUUAGUAAACAAUCCAAUUUGAAAGAUCAACCGAUCUUCACACUAAGCAUCUGUCUGCGGUUGAUCAGAAGAACCCAAAUAAACCCAGGAUGACGACCAACGCUCAGGAGGCGAAGAGUUGCCCAAUCCCUACCCGGGUGCUCACCCUGAAAGACUGGUCUCAGCUCCCCGACUGCUACAGUCAGACUCCCGGGGGUACUCUCUUCUCCACAACGCCCGGAGAGUACAGCAUUGCAGAAUUCCAGACCACUGACUGACCCAAAAUUUAAGGAGAGCUAUGACUAUGUACAGACUUGGUGAGCAUAGCUUUGCUAUUGAAAGAGGCUGCUGUAGGUAGACCUUUGGACCUUUUGUUUACUGAGUGUAGUUUACUGUACGGUUUUUGUUUAUUUAACUUUGAUCUAUUUCACUUGCUUUGGCAAUGUAAACUUGUUUCCCAUGACAAUAAAGCCCUUGAAUUUGAGAGAGUAAAGUAUGAGAGGGGGAGGGAUUGGGAAGCAUAAAUGGAGUGCAACGAGAGGCCUUUCUAAGAAUUGUUGAAGUGAGGACAUGUGGGAGGGAGUGGUGGAAAGUGUGAUUUGGCUGAGAGCAGAAAGCAGUGUGGUUUCAGGUCCUCUAUGGAUCCUUAAACUUACUUUUGCGUCAUGGAAGACUAGGCCAAGCUUUAAGGAGUAGUUAUAACAUGGUUAUAACAGCUGUGUUAGUCAUUACACUGCUUAUGGUGAUUCUUCAUUGAUGCUUUACAACAGGUGCUCCCGAGUGUCACAGUGGUCUAAGGCACUGAAUCUCAGUGCCAGAGGUGUUACUACAGACCCUGGUUUGAUUCCAGGCUGUAUCACCGCCAGCCAGGAUUGCGAGUCCCAUAGCGCGGCGCACAAUUGGCUCAGCGUCGUCCGGUUUUGGCCGGGGCAGGCCGUCAUUGUAAAUAAGAAUAUGUUCUUAACUGACUUGCCUAGUUAAAUAAAUUAAAAACAUUUGGCCUAGAGCAGUUUUACAUGAUGCUUCUAUAACCAGAAGUUAAUUUUCUACAAUUAACUGUUGAUGUGAGCACAACAAGCAUUACACAUGGUUUGGAGAGACUGCUCCGCUCCCCCGGCCAAUCUCUCCCUGCUGUAAUGUGAUGAGGGGAGGGUGGGUGGGUGUUAUCCCAUUGCCACUGACAGAGCGUGGCAUUACAUGGGAUGGGCUCUGUUUCAUGUGAACCGAGAGAUUGGCCACAGAGCUGGACUUAGCUGGGCCUUUUCUGCAUAACUCAGGGCCAGGGUACUAUAGUUUAGCUGCUGGCUGUCCUGUUCUCUCUGCAUAGCUUCUGCCUAAAUUCCUGCCCUAAUGUUUAUACACACACUCCGCUUUCCUUUUGUUCAGGACAGGGUGCUCAACUGGCAGAGGUUGUAACUGUUCUGCACUGUAUCAGUUGUAACUACAGCGUGCUGUACUAAUACUCAGUGGUGGAAAAAGUACCCAAUUGUUAUUCUAAAGUAAAGAUGCCUUAAUAGAACAUUAAACUACUUCCCCCUACUGUACCUGCCUCUAAAAAGCUGGGAUUUGAAUCCUAGCUCUGGUAAAGGCAGCUCCUCCCAGUCUGCUCCAAACUCAGAUGCAACUAACCCUAUUACCCUUUCCUCCUCCUCUUCCUCCCCCCACACCACCAAGUCCUCCUUCCCCUCACGCCACCCUGGCUCGGCCCUCUCCGCCUUCUCCCACAUCCCCUCCCUCUCAAACUCCCCACACCCUCUCACACAGGUAAAGCACCCUCAGAUGGCCAGGGGCAGGCACACUUCAACACUCAGGCAUCAUUUACAAACAAAACAUUCAUUUGAUUUGUUGUGAGUCUGCCAGAUCAGAGGCAGUAGGGAUGGCCUCUUGAUAAGUGUGAAUUUGAUACUUUUUCCUGUCCUACUAAGCAUUCAAAAUGUAAUGAGUACUUUUGGGUGUCAUGGAAAAUGUAUGGAGUAAAAAGUACAUUUUUAGGAAUGUAGUAAAGUACAGAACACCAAAAAAAAAAACAGUUAAAGUACUAGUUGAGUACUUUCCACCACUGCUAAUACUAAAUACUGCACGGCAGCACUCCCCGUCCUCUCCAUGUAACCCUGUCCAGGGCAGACUUCAGUAGUAGACACCACAACAUUGGAUGAUAUAAUAUCUAUAACGACUGUUUAUCAAACGUUCUGUCAGUCGAUACACAGUGGUUCAGGUGAAACUUCAGUUCAUCAGGAUGAUAUUCAGUAUGAUAUAAUAUCUAUAACGACUGUUUAUCAAUGUUCUGUUGCAAUUCAGGGAUCACAUCAGUCUGUCAGCAACCUGUCGGAGCCUAGUUGUUUACCAAACAGUCUCUACUGUAGACAUGCAGACAACCUUUGUAUGGAGUGGCAAGUCAAGUUCCCUUUUACAUACUGUAUUCCAAAUGGUCUAGGCCUGUUGUGGAAGAGAUGACAUAACCUCCACUCAACCAGGCAACCUCAUGAAUGGGGUAUCACCACAGGAGGCCUCGUCAAGCCACCUAAGCAAACAUAAUGUAGGGAAAACUCUGCAGGUGACUACAGUACAGCUCUGUAGCGUGCGACACUGAGCGCCCGGUGCAGGCCACACUGAGCGCCCGGUGCAGGCGACACGGAGCGCUCUGUGUUUGGUGGUGACUACAUGUUUCUGGUCUGCCUCCUGUCACCACUUCCUGGUUCUAGGAGAACUUGUUUAUGUUCUCCACUUUCCUAGAACUGGCUUACUACUGCCAACCCACAAGUUCUUUCCUCUGUUUCCUCUGUUUCCUCCUGUUUUCCUCUUUUCCCUUACUCACAAUGGCCAACUGACUCCUCUUCUCCCCUCCCUCCUCCAUCUCCUCUCCCUCCUCCAUCUCCUCUCCUUGGGCUGAAAACCGUGUGUUUGGUAUGCAUCCAACAGCUCUGACCCUAAGGCCAGGGAGGGCCUCAGGGGUGCAGUCCCAGUUUCUUCCAGAUACACUAUUGUAUUUGUGCAGUUUUGACAUCAAACGAUUCAUGGAUGGUUUUCAAGGGGAUAAAUCAGGAACUAAAUCAUCCAUUUUUGUACACUGAAUAAUGUGCUUGAGUUUAUAACUAAUCUCCAACAGAUGUUAUGGUACAUGAGUCAAUUUUAGGGAUGUCCCUGGCUAAAAUAAAAUUUGUGGUCGACCGAAUGUCUGUUCUUCAGACCAAUUGAUUGGUGAACAUGUAUUCUUACUUAUUGAUACAUCCUGUGUUUUAGUCAUAUCAGCUAUAUGCACUGAGCCUCAGACUUGCUGUGUUAAAAAACAAAUUGACAGCGACUGGCUGUGACGAGCACCCGUUGUCUGUGUCUCUUACCCUGCUACAGAGACCACAACAUCAACAGAACAGUGUUUAUCGCGCUGUCCGUGUUGCUGAAAAGUUGGCCGAAAUCCCUAAUUUGUUUAGGAAAAUCUUUACCCCAACCCGUGCUCUCUUUGUCACUCAUUUAUACAUCACAUGCACCUGACCAAUAUGGCCUGACUGGCUAUAAUGGCGCUGGAGGGGAUGACUGACGUUUUACAGACUGCUAACCAACUGUGCUAUUUAUUUUUUAUCCCACAUUGUUUUUACAGUUGAAGUCGGAAGUUUACAUACAUCUUAGCCAAAUGCAUUUAAACUCAGUUUCACAUAUUCCUGACAUUUAUUCCUAGUAAAGAUCUUAGGUCAGUUCGGAUCAACAAUUUAUUUUAAGAAUGUGAAUGUCAGAAUAAUAGAGUUUUAUUUAUUUCAUCACAUUCCCAGUGGGUCAGAAGUUUACAUGCACUCAAUUAGUAUUUGGUAGCAUUGACUUUAAAUUGUUUAACUUGGGUCAAACAUUUUGGGUAGCUUUCCACAAUAAGUUGGGUGAAUUUUGCCCCAUUCCUCCUGACAGAGCUGGUGUUACUGAGUCAGGUUUGUAGGCCUCCUUGCACGCACAUGCUUCUUCAGUUCUGCCCACAAACUUUCUAUAGGAUUGAGGUCAGGGCUUUGUGAUGGCCACUCCAAUACCUUGCUUUGUUGUCCUUACGCCAUUUUUCCGCAACUUUGGAAGUAUGCUUGGGGUCAUUGUACAUUUGGAAGACCCAUUUGCGACCAAGCUUUAACUUCCUGACUGAUGUCUUAAGAUGUUGCUUCAAUAUAUCCACAUAAUUUUCCUUCCCCAUGAUGCCAUCUAUUUUGUGAAUUACACCAGUCCCUCCUGCAGCAAAGCACCCCCACAACAUGAUGCUGCCAUCCUCCUCAGACCAGAGGACAUUUCUCCAAAAACAAUGAUCUUUGUCCCCAUGUGCAGGUGCAGACUGUAGUCUGGCUCUUUAUGGCGGUUUUGGAGCAGUGGCUUCUUCCUUGCUGAGUGGCCUUUCAGGUUGUCGAUAUAGGACUUGUUUUACUGUGCAUAUAGAUACUUUUGUACCUGUUUCCUCUAGCAUCUUCACAAGGGCCUUUGCUGUUCUGGGAUUGAUUUGCACUUUUCACACAAGUGUGUUCUGCCUCCUAGAGAUGAACGUAUCUCCUUCCUGAGCGGUAUGACGGCUGAGUGGUCCCAUGGUGUUGAUACUUGCGUAUUAUUGUUGGUACAGAUGAACGUGGUACCUUCAGGAGUUUGGAAAGGAUGAAUCAGACUUGUGGAUGUCUACAAUUUUUGGUUUCUGAGGUCUUGGCUGAUUUUUCUUUUGAUUUUCCCAUGAUGUCAAGCAAAGAGGCACUGAGUUUGAAGGUAGGCCUUAACACAUCCACAGGUACACCUCCAAUUGACUCAAUUAGCCUAUCAGAAGCCACUAAAGCCAUGAUAUAAUUUUCUGGAAUGUUCCAAGCUGUUUAAAUGCACAGUCAUCUUAGUGUAUGUAAACUUCUGACCCACUGGAAUUGUGAUACAGUGAAAUAGGGUUAUGGUCUGUAAAUAAUUGUUGGAAAAAUUACUUGUCAUGCGCAAAGUAGAUGUCCUAACCGACUUGCCAAAAUUUUAGUUUGUCAACAAGAAAUUUGUGAAGUGGUUGACAAACGCGUUUUAAUGACUCCAACCUAAGUGUAUGUAAAUUUCCGACUUCAACUGUUACUAAUUUUGUACAUAAUGUUGCUGCUACCGUCUCUUAUGACCGAAAAGAGCUUCUGGAUAUCAGAACAGCGAUUACUCCCCUCGAACUGGACAAAGAUUUUUUUUCUUUAAUGUGUCUGACUCGAAGGAUAUAUUGCUUUGUCGAGCCAAGGAUCAAAUCGGCGUCAUCUGUUUGAAUAAAAGGGGGAGGAGGGCAGGUGCCUUGUAAGAAUUUGUUGACGAGUAGGUAAACCACCACUAACCUUUGCACGUUGGCCAAUAAUACAAUAAUUGGAAAACAAACUGGACGAUCUACGAUUAAGACUAUCCUACCAACGGGACAUUCAAAACUGUAACAUCUUGUGUUUCACUGAUACGUGGCUGAACGACGACAUGGAUAAUAUAGAGCUGGCUAGCUUCCCCGCGCAUCAGCAGGACAGAGCAGCUACGUCUGGUAAGACGAGGGGCGAGGGUGUGUCAAUAACUGCUGUUGUGCAAUGUCUAAUAUUAAAGAAGUCUCAAGGUAUUGCCCGCCUGAAGUAGAAUACCUCAUGAUAAGCUGUAGACCACACUAUCUAUAUUAUUCGUAGCCGUCUAUUUACCACCACAAACUGAUGCUGGCACUAUGACCGCACUCAAGAAAAUGCUCGUCCAGAAGCGGCGCUCCUAGUGGCCAGGGACUUUAAUGCAGGCAAACUUAAAUCCGUUUAACCUCAUUUCUACCAGCAUGUCACAUGCAACCAGAGGAGAAAAAAAACUAUUGACCACUUACUCCACACACAGAUGCAUACAAAGCUCUCCCUCGCCCUCAAUUUGGCAAAUCUGACCAUAAUUCUAUCCUUCUGAUUACGAGCUAAAACUAUAGCAGGAAGUACCAGUGACUCGCUCAAUACGGAAGUGGUCAGGUGAUGCGGCUGCUACGCUGCAGGACUGUUUUGCUAGCAAAGACUGGAAUAUGUUCUGGGAUUGCACUGACCGGUUGCUACGGAGGGCAUGCACUGACCGGUUGCUACGGAGGGUCUUUCAUACGGCUCAGUACAUCGCUGAGGCCAAGCUUCCUGACAUCCAGGACCUACAGUGCUUUGCAAAAGUAUUCAUCCCCCUUAGUGUUUUUUCUUAUUUUGGUGCACUACAACCUGUCAUUUAUUUGGAUUUCAUGUAAUGGACAUACACAAAAUAGUCCAAUUUGGUGAAAUUAAAAUAACUUGUUUAAAAAAAAUUCUUAAAGGAAAAGUGGUGCGUGUAUAUGCAUUCACCCCCUUUGCACCACCAAGCUAAUACCCCCCGACAGGAACACGCAUCAUCUACGACAGGAAGUUCCUGCUGGACUGUCGGAACUCUCCCAUUGCCCGGACUCCUCCAUGCUGCCUGCCCCAGAUCCCAGGGGUGACGGUGCCCGCUCUGCACCCUCUGGGCAAACUACAGGAACUUAAAGAGGAGCUGGAGGAGGAGGAGAAGGACCUGGGAGGUAGGAAUAUGCACACACUAGACAUGCGUACUGUGUAUACGCGCGCACACACACAUUCUGUACACAGGUGCACACUGACAAACUUGCAUAUGAACAUGUACACACAGGUAGAACUCCGUUCAACCACCUAUAUGAUAAUGUUGACAUGUACCUACGUAUAUGUCCAUUCAACCACCUAUAUGUUAUUUCCUUGUCUUCGUGGAACCUAGUGUUUUAAGAAGUGGAUGAGGGGGAGUAGAAGACCAGAGCAGCAUUUUUGCAGGCAUUAUCACCUGCUGUUAUUCCUGUCCAUCUGUCUGUCGGACAUGGUCACCUGCUGUUAUUCCUGUCCGUCGGACAUGGUCACCUGCUGUUAUUCCUGUCCGUCGGACAUGGUCACCUGCUGUUAUUCCUGUCUGCCGGACAUGGUCACUUUCUGUUAUUCCUGUCCGUCGGACAUGGUCACUUGCUGUUAUUCCUGUCCGUCGGACAUGGUCACCUGCUGUUAUUCCUGUCCGCCGGACAUGGUCACCUGCUGUUAUUCCUGUCCGUCGGACAUGGUCACCUGCUGUUAUUCCUGUCCGUCGGACAUGGUCACCUGCUGUUAUUCCUGUCCGCCGGACAUGGUCACCUGC